GACGAACGCUGGCGGCGUGCGUAAUACAUGCAAGUCGAACGCACGAAGUUGAAGAGCUUGCUCUUUAACCAAGUGAGUGGCGGACGGGUGAGUAACACGUGGGUAACCUGCCCAUUAGAGGGGGAUAACAUUCGGAAACGGAUGCUAAUACCGCAUAGUUUCAGGGAUCGCAUGAUUCUUGAAGGAAAGGUGGCUCCGGCUACCACUAAUGGAUGGACCCGCGGCGUAUUAGCUAGUUGGUGAGGUAAUGGCUCACCAAGGCAAUGAUACGUAGCCGACCUGAGAGGGUGAUCGGCCACACUGGGACUGAGACACGGCCCAGACUCCUACGGGAGGCAGCAGUAGGGAAUCUUCCGCAAUGGACGAAAGUCUGACGGAGCAACGCCGCGUGAGUGAAGAAGGUUUUCGGAUCGUAAAACUCUGUUGUUAAAGAAGAACAAGGAUGAGAGUAACUGCUCAUCCCCUGACGGUAUUUAACCAGAAAGCCACGGCUAACUACGUGCCAGCAGCCGCGGUAAUACGUAGGUGGCAAGCGUUGUCCGGAUUUAUUGGGCGUAAAGCGAGCGCAGGCGGUUCUUUAAGUCUGAUGUGAAAGCCCCCGGCUCAACCGGGGAGGGUCAUUGGAAACUGGAGAACUUGAGUGCAGAAGAGGAGAGUGGAAUUCCACGUGUAGCGGUGAAAUGCGUAGAUAUGUGGAGGAACACCAGUGGCGAAGGCGACUCUCUGGUCUGUAACUGACGCUGAGGCUCGAAAGCGUGGGGAGCAAACAGG
This 771-nucleotide ribosomal RNA is filed under the name uncultured Vagococcus sp. RNAcentral's name for it is "bacterial SSU rRNA". It matches the Rfam family "Bacterial small subunit ribosomal RNA", at positions 28 to 776 of the family's 1533-position model. Lineage: Bacteria; Bacillati; Bacillota; Bacilli; Lactobacillales; Enterococcaceae. The record is from RNAcentral.